RNAcentral lists this ribosomal RNA (497 nucleotides) under uncultured bacterium. RNAcentral's name for it is "partial 16S ribosomal RNA". It matches the Rfam family "Bacterial small subunit ribosomal RNA", at positions 28 to 507 of the family's 1533-position model. The record is from RNAcentral.
GAUGAACGCUGGCGGCGUGCCUAAUACAUGCAAGUCGAGCGAACAGACGAGGAGCUUGCUCCUCUGACGUUAGCGGCGGACGGGUGAGUAACACGUGGAUAACCUACCUAUAAGACUGGGAUAACUUCGGGAAACCGGAGCUAAUACCGGAUAACAUGUUGAACCGCAUGGUUCAACAGUGAAAGACGGUCUUGCUGUCACUUAUAGAUGGAUCCGCGCCGCAUUAGCUAGUUGGUAAGGUAACGGCUUACCAAGGCAACGAUGCGUAGCCGACCUGAGAGGGUGAUCGGCCACACUGGAACUGAGACACGGUCCAGACUCCUACGGGAGGCAGCAGUAGGGAAUCUUCCGCAAUGGGCGAAAGCCUGACGGAGCAACGCCGCGUGAGUAAAGAAGGUCUUCGGAUCGUAAAACUCUGUUAUUAGGGAAGAACAAAUGUGUAAGUAACUAUGCACGUCUUGACGGUACCUAAUCAGAAAGCCACGGCUAACUACGUG